RNAcentral lists this ribosomal RNA (253 nucleotides) under uncultured bacterium. Its description in RNAcentral is "partial 16S ribosomal RNA". It matches the Rfam family "Bacterial small subunit ribosomal RNA", at positions 524 to 776 of the family's 1533-position model. The record is from RNAcentral.
GACAGAGGGUGCAAACGUUGCUCGGAAUCACUGGGCGUAAAGGGCGCGUAGGCGGCCUGCUAAGUCGAACGUGAAAUCCCUGGGCUCAACCCAGGAACUGCGUCCGAUACUGGUUGGCUUGAAUCCGGGAGAGGGAUGUGGAAUUCCAGGUGUAGCGGUGAAAUGCGUAGAUAUCUGGAGGAACACCGGUGGCGAAGGCGACAUCCUGGACCGGCAUUGACGCUGAGGCGCGAAAGCCAGGGGAGCAAACGGG